Molecule: long non-coding RNA, 1998 nt
Organism: Helianthus annuus (common sunflower)
Lineage: Eukaryota; Viridiplantae; Streptophyta; Magnoliopsida; Asterales; Asteraceae
Exons: 6
Source: RefSeq, a predicted model, not a curated record
CCCUAAAUCUUCUAAUUCUUCUCCUUUACUCUUCAUCGAAACCCCAACUUUUCUUUCAAAUCUUCUCUCCAAACCCUAAAGGAUCCUUCAUCCAGUUCUUCCAUCAUCGAUUCUUCUUUCUCACACUUAUUCUCCACAAACCCUAAACUCACUAGAAUUCUUUUUGCUCUUCAUCUUGAAAAAAGGAAAGAAGAUUCGAGAGAUAGAUUGAGAGAUGGGGCGCCGGCUAAGGGUUCUGCGGUUUUUCUCUUAUUUAUUCAUCUGGUGUUGUCUUUGAGGAGGCGGCGAAGACGAAAUAAGUUGGAGAUUUGUCAAUUUGAUCUGGCCUUCAAGUAUGUUGGUAUUGUUUUCGAUCAGUGUGUUUUAUUGAUUAUUUAAGUUUGUUUGUAUGUGCGGUUGGAUUUAGGUAAUAACUUUUAGCACAGAUUUGGAAGACUAGAGCACAUCAUGAUCGAGUUCUUCAACUGUUUAUGCUAUGCUACAAAUUACAUGUAGACAGAGAAAUGUUCACUCACUUAUCACAAAUAAGUGCUAAAAUCCUUCAUUUUGUUUUAGUGAAAUUGAACUGGAAAUUUAUUUGAGUUGCUUAAAAUGUGAUAUAUAUGGUUGCAGAUGCGGCUUGGCUUACGUUUGUGGUCAUACGUUAGAGAAGAGGCCUCCCAUGGAAGGGUAAAUGUUUCGACUUUGUUCUUCUUGUGCAUCAUUUAACCAUUUUAAGAAAACAAAAAAAAGAUUUCUUGGAUAAGGAAGGCACUGUAUAAGGGGGUGUUUAGAUUCUUGAUUAUUUGUUCUGUAAUCAUAUAUUUUAGUUGUAUUACACCAUUUGAUAACCAGCAGAGCUGCAGGAGUAGGUUAUCUGGAUACUAGAAACAGAUAAUCAGAUAUUCGGUUAUUGCUUAAAAACAUACAUCCAAACACCCCCUAACCCUUAUAAUGUAAUGGAUGUGAGCUUUUUUUGGCCUGCUUAUAUCUUCAUUGCUGCAAAAUGUUAUUUAUUUGCACUGUGUCGAUAAGUGUCAGUUAUGCUUAUGCUUCUUGGCUUAGUAUGUGCAAAGGGCACCUAUUGAUCCUUUCAAUUGGGAAGGAAAACCGCUAGCAACCCAAGGGGUUCCCCUUGGUGGGAUGGGGUAAUCUCACAGGGUGCCCUAAAUGGAUGGAUCUUAAUGCAGAUUUGACCCAUUUGAUAUUUAGCAUUUUGAAAGUGGAAACAAAUAGCUAGCUGUUUUAGCGUGUGUCAUCUCUUGCCCUCCUCAUACUAAUGGGCUUGUGUUUGUAGGAUAUAAUAGUGGUUGAAACCACUGUUGGGUUAAAACUGUGGUUUGAAACCACUGUUGGACCAGAUUGCGAGUUGAAGAUCUGAAAACAGUGGUUUCAAAACACUGUUUUAACCCAAAACAGUGGAUUGGUAUAAUUUUUCUUUUGUUUAAUAGGGUAGCAUCUCAAAGGAAACCACUGUUUUAACCCAAAAGUGGUUUCAAAACACUGUUGGGUUAAAACAGUGAGUUAAACCACUGUUGGGUUAAAACAGUGAGUUAAACCACUGUUGAGUUACAACAGUCGUUGAAACUACUGUUGGGUUCGAAGAGUUAUCCACAGGUUCAACAAUGCUAUGAGUUAUCCGCUGAGUAUGAAGGAAAGCAUGAUCCUAAAAAGCUCGAAGUACUCGGAAACGUGUCAAAGUACUCGAAGUACUCCUGAUGAUAAGUUAGAACUGGAUGAAGCUUUGCAUAGAGAAAUUCCUGUUAUGUUAGAUCCAUUAAGGUCAUGUUGGUCGAAAAUGAUGAUUCUACACGUCACAUUGUCACUGCUUUGCUCCGCAACUGUAACUAUGAAGUUAUUGAAGCAGCCAAUGGAUUACAAGCCUGGAAGAUUUUGGAAAAUCUAUCCGUUCACAUUGACAUUGUUUUAGCUUAUAUUAGUUUAAAUCAAACAUGUUUCCUGUGAAAUGAAAAUCUGAUCCUAAAUUUUGAAGUUAAUCAUCAGCUAAUUUGAUGCAAA